Molecule: ribosomal RNA, 253 nt
Filed under: uncultured bacterium
Lineage: Bacteria
Description: partial 16S ribosomal RNA
Rfam family: Bacterial small subunit ribosomal RNA
Source: RNAcentral
UACGUAGGGUGCAAGCGUUAAUCGGAAUUACUGGGCGUAAAGCGUGCGCAGGCGGUUGUGUAAGUCCGAUGUGAAAUCCCCGGGCUCAACCUGGGAAUGGCAUUGGUGACUGCACGGCUAGAGUGUGUCAGAGGGGGGUAGAAUUCCACGUGUAGCAGUGAAAUGCGUAGAGAUGUGGAGGAACACCGAUGGCGAAGGCAGCCCCCUGGGUUAACACUGACGCUCAGGCACGAAAGCGUGGGGAGCAAACAGG